GCAAACUUGGUCAUUUAGAGGAAGUAAAAGUCGUAACAAGGUUUCCGUAGGUGAACCUGCGGAAGGAUCAUUAAAAAGAAAAAAAUCAUAGUCCGAUUUAUUUUGUGUGCACUCAUUGAUUAGUAUACUUUGACAGAUUUUUGUUUUUUGUUUUGUUAUUUAUGGUUUUUUUUUGCCUUUUUUUAAUAAUAUUUUUAUUAAAAAAAAAAUCAAAAAAAAAUCCAUCAAACCAACAAUCAAAAAAUUUUAGGGAUUCAAAAAAUUAAAAAUUUUAGUUUUUAAAUCUCGAAUCUGUCAAAGGUUUUUUAUAUUUUUUUCUUUUAAUUUUAUUAAUUUUAAAUAAUAUAUAUAUAUAAUAAUUUAAUAUAACUUUCAACAACGGAUCUCUUGGCUCUCGCAUCGAUGAAGAACGCAGC
This 416-nucleotide unclassified non-coding RNA is filed under the name uncultured fungus. Its description in RNAcentral is "partial contains small subunit ribosomal RNA, internal transcribed spacer 1, and 5.8S ribosomal RNA". The stretch from base 1 to 73 matches the Rfam family "Eukaryotic small subunit ribosomal RNA", at positions 1759 to 1831 of the family's 1831-position model. Lineage: Eukaryota; Fungi. The record is from RNAcentral.